This 475-nucleotide ribosomal RNA is filed under the name uncultured bacterium. RNAcentral describes it as "partial 16S ribosomal RNA". It matches the Rfam family "Bacterial small subunit ribosomal RNA", at positions 28 to 507 of the family's 1533-position model. The record is from RNAcentral.
GAUGAACGCUAGCGGCAGGCCUAACACAUGCAAGUCGAGGGAUAAGCCUUCGGGCUAGGACCGUCGCACGGGUGCGUACCGCGUAUACAAUCUGCCUUUUAUCCGGGUGAUAGCCCGAAGAAAUUUGGAUUAAUACCCUAAAGUAUAAGAGCACGGCCUCGUGCACUUGUUAAAGCUACGGCGUUAAAAGAUGAGUAUGCGUUCUAUUAGCUAGUUGGAGAGUUAACGGCUCCCCAAGGCGACGAUAGAUAGGGGUUCUGAGAGGGAUGUCCCUGAGACGGGUACUGAGAAACGGAGCAGACAGAUACGGGAGGCAGUAGUGAGGAAUAUUGGAGAAUGGUAGGAAGACUGAUCCAGCCAUGCCGCGUGCAGGAUGACGGCGUUAUGGGUUGUAAACUGCUUUUGUAAGGGAAGAAUAAGGAGUACGGGUACUUUGAUGACGGUACCUGACGAAUAAGCAUCGGCUAACUCCGUG